This 77-nucleotide transfer RNA is filed under the name Rhizobiaceae bacterium. RNAcentral describes it as "tRNA-Asp". It matches the Rfam family "tRNA". From Rfam's summary of the family: Transfer RNA (tRNA) molecules are approximately 80 nucleotides in length. The record is from RNAcentral. Lineage: Bacteria; Pseudomonadati; Pseudomonadota; Alphaproteobacteria; Hyphomicrobiales; Rhizobiaceae.
GCGGGUGUAGCUCAGUUGGUUAGAGUGCCGGCCUGUCACGCCGGAGGUCGCGAGUUCAAGUCUCGUCACUCGCGCCA